GACGAACGCUGGCGGCGUGCCUAACACAUGCAAGUCGAGCGAGCGGAGUUCUUCGGAACAAAGCUAGCGGCGGACGGGUGAGUAACACGUGGGCAACCUGCCUCAUAGAGGGGAAUAGCCUCCCGAAAGGGAGAUUAAUACCGCAUAAGAUUGUAGCUUCGCAUGAAGUAGCAAUUAAAGGAGCAAUCCGCUAUGAGAUGGGCCCGCGGCGCAUUAGCUAGUUGGUGAGGUAACGGCUCACCAAGGCGACGAUGCGUAGCCGACCUGAGAGGGUGAUCGGCCACAUUGGGACUGAGACACGGCCCAGACUCCUACGGGAGGCAGCAGUGGGGAAUAUUGCACAAUGGGCGAAAGCCUGAUGCAGCAACGCCGCGUGAGCGAUGAAGGCCUUCGGGUCGUAAAGCUCUGUCCUCAAGGAAGAUAAUGACGGUACUUGAGGAGGAAGCCCCGGCUAACUACGUGCCAGCAGCCGCCGUAA
Molecule: ribosomal RNA, 478 nt
Filed under: uncultured bacterium
Lineage: Bacteria
Description: partial 16S ribosomal RNA
Rfam family: Bacterial small subunit ribosomal RNA
Source: RNAcentral